RNAcentral lists this ribosomal RNA (253 nucleotides) under uncultured bacterium. RNAcentral describes it as "partial 16S ribosomal RNA". It matches the Rfam family "Bacterial small subunit ribosomal RNA", at positions 524 to 776 of the family's 1533-position model. The record is from RNAcentral.
UACGUAGGGGGCUAGCGUUGUCCGGAAUCAUUGGGCGUAAAGCGCGUGUAGGCGGUUCGGUAAGUCCGCUGUGAAAGUCGGGGGCUCAACCCUCGAAUGCCGGUGGAUACUGUCGGACUAGAGUACGGAAGAGGCGAGUGGAAUUCCUGGUGUAGCGGUGAAAUGCGCAGAUAUCAGGAAGAACACCCGUGGCGAAGGCGGCUCUCUGGGACGGUACUGACGCUGAGACGCGAAAGCGUGGGGAGCGAGCAGG